RNAcentral lists this long non-coding RNA (1300 nucleotides) under Anas platyrhynchos platyrhynchos (common mallard). RNAcentral's name for it is "lncRNA (ENSAPLG00000024038.1)". Lineage: Eukaryota; Metazoa; Chordata; Aves; Anseriformes; Anatidae. The record is from RNAcentral.
AUGCCAGAGUGGGUGCCAACCUCACUCCUUUCCUCUUUAUUACAGUUGAAGUGCUUGGACAUCAUCUCUCGCAUGGACCUGAGACUGUCAUCGAAGCCUCCCUUUCCAGCCUCUGCCACCUGCUUAUCAUCACCUCUGCAACCGGGUGCUUCCUCCCCUCAAAGAGAAAAAAUGAGUUUCAUUAAUGAAGAAAACAAGAACAAGUGUGUGAUGAAGAAGGAAGGCAGUGGUGUGGCUUGUGGGCUCUCCCAAGAUCCUGCUUGCCUACCUUGGGCUUUUCCCUCCUGGUCUUUCUCUUAAAGGCAGAACAAAGAAUACAUGAAAAGAUGGAUUAAAAAAUUCCUAUUUCUGUGCCCUUUUCUCAUUUUGUAAGUUGACGCUCCUGUCAAGGUAAAGAGAGGGAAUGAAUAUGAAGAACUCACUUUUCCAUAGCAGAGAUGUGAUUCUUAUUUCCUAUUCCACUACUGUCUAGUGCAGCAUGAAGCUGCUUGGGGUGUUAAUGUGCUUUGAAAUGCUCCCAAAAGCCUGGGUGACCAAAGAGGACAGGGAGGGAGCUUCAGUUAUACCUGGUGGAAAUUGCAAUCAUUUGAGUCUUAUUUUUUUUUCCCUGUCAAGAUAAUUGCAAGGCACUGACUCAUUGAGGAGCUGUGAGGAGAUGGGAUGGAAAUCCAUAGCUGAGACUUCUUAGACCUGCCCUGGUCUCUACCUCUGGAACUCUGGACUGCCAGCAGGGGCCCAGGCCAGCAGCAGCCUGCAGGAUAUUGUAGUGGAUUUUGCUGAGAUCUUUGCAGCUUCCACCAAGAAGUUCAGUAACAUCAUCCAUCCUGAACCUUGCAGGGCACCCAACUCAUCAUCCUGCUCUGCAGGGCAUGCAGGCUGAGCUGGCUGGGGCUUGAGGAACGUAAGUUUUUUCCUUCCCUUCAUAUUUCCUUUCUGAUGUCUUGUGGGAGAGCAAGAGGUGACCAGGUGUGCAAGGAGGGGAUGUGUCCCUUCCAUCCCAGCUCAAGUGACACAAAUGCCAGGGAGGAAGGAGCAAAACCAGACCAGAGUCCAGGAAAGCAUCUGCUGCUGGAGGAAACCUGGUUGAAGGCAAUGCCAGGGUGGUUGCCAGGCAAAGGAGGAUGGUAGGGUGCUCAUGGGGAAGACAUGGACAGAACAGAUGGUGGCAAGCUGAGAGCAGGAAGUAUGGAGGAGGGAAAGCACCAUAUGGUAAAUGUGGGUGAGCAGAGAAAGAAGUGUCAUUGUUUUCAGUUCUUCAUAGCUGCCCAGAAGCUAAAUAUUUGCAGCAUGAGUUGUGUUU